Molecule: small RNA, 819 nt
Filed under: Pongo abelii (Sumatran orangutan)
Lineage: Eukaryota; Metazoa; Chordata; Mammalia; Primates; Hominidae
Description: processed transcript
Source: RNAcentral
GGGCAGCAAUCUCAGCUCACUGCAACCUCCACCUCCUGGGCUGAAGCGAUCCACCUACCUCAGCCUCCCAAAAUGUUGGGAUUACAGGCGCGUCUUCCAUGUAUGCACCUUUUCCACCAAGUGUGUGUUGACCAAUGGUUGAUUACCAAUAAGAAGUGCCCCAUAUGCAGAGUGGACAUUGAGGCCCAGCUCCCAAGUGAAAGUUGACACCAUGUUUCAGAACUCUUGCCCUCCCUCUUAUUCCCAUCCUUCCUGGUACUGCAGUCAACCAAAGAUGGCAUGACUUACCUGCGCAGAUUUGGAAGCAUUGAACUUAGAGUGCUGGCUCUGCUAUAUGGUACAACUAAUGCUAGACCUACAGUUUAUGUAUACAGUUGAUUCUGAUGUAUUUAUAAAAGCUUUUUUUUCUAGAUUUGACAUUUUUCUGUAUCAUUUUACUGUAUUUUUGCAUGGUUCCUUGUAUUGCAUUUCUUUGCACAUAUUAUGGGCUUGUGACCCUAAACUUGCAGGCAAGGUUAGCUGCUUUAGUAAGUAGAAUUUUGUGGUCUUUUUGUUUUUUACAUAGUACCAAGCCUUGAUAAUUAUGACUUUUUUAUCCAUUACUAACUUUUAAUUUAAUCAAUCAUGUACCUUAGUUUAAUGUAUAAAGAUCCUCUAGAAAAUGAUAAUAUUGUGUAUUAAGACAUUCCUUAAUUAGGACAAAAUGGCUGCUGUAUAUUUACUAUAUGGAGUUCUGAGUUAAAUACCAUCCUUAAUACUGGGAACAGAAUACAACCCAUAUUAAAUCAGAUGCAGGUGGUAGUCACAUCACCAGAGUGA